GGGAAACGGUGUCGACUAGCCAUGCGAGUCAAUGUUCUUCGUGAACAUGGCGUACUGCUCAGUAACACGUGGACAACCUGCCCUAAGGUCUGGCAUAACUCCGGGAAACUGGGGAUAAUUCCAGAUGAACCAUAGAUACUGGAAUGUGCUGUGGUUAAAAGCUCCGGCGCCUUAGGAUGGAUCUGCGGCCUAUCAGGUAGUAGUGGGUGUAAUGUACCUACUAGCCUACGACGGGUACGGGUUGUGAGAGCAAGAGCCCGGAGAUGGAUUCUGAGACAUGAAUCCAGGCCCUACGGGGCGCAGCAGGCGCGAAAACUUUACAAUGCGGGAAACCGCGAUAAGGGGACACUGAGUGCCAGUACCAUGUACUGGCUGUCCGCAUGUAUAAAUCACAUGUGUCAGCAAGGGCCGGGCAAGACCGGUGCCAGCCGCCGCGGUAACACCGGCGGCCCGAGUGGUGCCAUUAUUAUUGGGUCUAAAGGGUCCGUAGCCGGUUUGAUCAGUCUUCCGGGAAAUCUGACAGCUCAACUGUUAGGCUUCUGGGGGAUACUGUCAGACUUGGAACCGGGAGAGGUAAGAGGUACUACAGGGGUAGGAGUGAAAUCUUGUAAUCCUUGUGGGACCACCAGUGGCGAAGGCGUCUUACCAGAACGGGUUCGACGGUGAGGGACGGAAGCUGGGGGCACGAACCGGAUUAGAUACCCGGGUAGUCCCAGCCGUAAACGAUGCUCGCUAGGUGUCUGGGAUGGUGCGACCGUUUCAGGUGCCGCAGGGAAGCCGUGAAGCGAGCCACCUGGGAA
This 800-nucleotide ribosomal RNA is filed under the name uncultured archaeon. Its description in RNAcentral is "bacterial SSU rRNA". It matches the Rfam family "Archaeal small subunit ribosomal RNA", at positions 28 to 834 of the family's 1478-position model. The record is from RNAcentral.